Molecule: ribosomal RNA, 468 nt
Filed under: uncultured bacterium
Lineage: Bacteria
Description: partial 16S ribosomal RNA
Rfam family: Bacterial small subunit ribosomal RNA
Source: RNAcentral
GACGAACGCUGGCGGCGUGCUUAACACAUGCAAGUCGAACGGAAAGACCCUGCUUUUGUGGGGUGCUCGAGUGGCGAACGGGUGAGUAACACGUGAGUAACCUGCCCUUGACUUUGGGAUAACUUCAGGAAACUGGGGCUAAUACCGGAUAGGAGCUCCUGCUGCAUGGUGGGGGUUGGAAAGUUUCGGCGGUUGGGGAUGGACUCGCGGCUUAUCAGCUUGUUGGUGGGGUAGUGGCUUACCAAGGCUUUGACGGGUAGCCGGCCUGAGAGGGUGACCGGCCACAUUGGGACUGAGAUACGGCCCAGACUCCUACGGGAGGCAGCAGUGGGGAAUAUUGCACAAUGGGCGGAAGCCUGAUGCAGCAACGCCGCGUGAGGGAUGACGGCCUUCGGGUUGUAAACCGCUUUCGCCUGUGACGAAGCGUGAGUGACGGUAAUGGGUAAAGAAGCACCGGCUAACUACGUG